Molecule: ribosomal RNA, 697 nt
Filed under: uncultured bacterium
Lineage: Bacteria
Description: bacterial SSU rRNA
Rfam family: Bacterial small subunit ribosomal RNA
Source: RNAcentral
CUUGCUUCUCUUGAGAGCGGCGGACGGGUGAGUAAUGCCUAGGAAUCUGCCUGGUAGUGGGGGAUAACGUCCGGAAACGGACGCUAAUACCGCAUACGUCCUACGGGAGAAAGCAGGGGACCUUCGGGCCUUGCGCUAUCAGAUGAGCCUAGGUCGGAUUAGCUAGUUGGUGGGGUAAUGGCUCACCAAGGCGACGAUCCGUAACUGGUCUGAGAGGAUGAUCAGUCACACUGGAACUGAGACACGGUCCAGACUCCUACGGGAGGCAGCAGUGGGGAAUAUUGGACAAUGGGCGAAAGCCUGAUCCAGCCAUGCCGCGUGUGUGAAGAAGGUCUUCGGAUUGUAAAGCACUUUAAGUUGGGAGGAAGGGCAGUAAAUUAAUACUUUGCUGUUUUGACGUUACCGACAGAAUAAGCACCGGCUAACUCUGUGCCAGCAGCCGCGGUAAUACAGAGGGUGCAAGCGUUAAUCGGAAUUACUGGGCGUAAAGCGCGCGUAGGUGGUUCGUUAAGUUGGAUGUGAAAUCCCCGGGCUCAACCUGGGAACUGCAUUCAAAACUGACGAGCUAGAGUAUGGUAGAGGGUGGUGGAAUUUCCUGUGUAGCGGUGAAAUGCGUAGAUAUAGGAAGGAACACCAGUGGCGAAGGCGACCACCUGGACUGAUACUGACACUGAGGUGCGAAAGCGUGGGGAGCAAA